This 3880-nucleotide long non-coding RNA is filed under the name Lathyrus oleraceus (garden pea). RNAcentral's name for it is "Pisum sativum (pea) long non-coding RNA (PSAT_LNC019122)". The record is from RNAcentral. Lineage: Eukaryota; Viridiplantae; Streptophyta; Magnoliopsida; Fabales; Fabaceae.
AAGUGUAGGAGAUAGGGUAUAGGAAACCCCAGUUUUGAUUAGAUGAAUUCCUCUGGUCAACCACCAUGAACCAACUUGCUAGUUUGCAAUUCUCUUGACUUUUGGGACUCAUGGGAGAUCAUAUAUGCAUAAUAUGAUGAAAUUUGAAGUAUCCCUUGAAAUAUUUGAUCAAUUGGGUGAAGAAGCUUGUUGAAGAAGUUACAUAAGAUACGCAGAUGAAUUAGGGUUUCCAAGGCAAACCAAUUCGAAACUCUUGAUGAUUUCUUGAUCAAAAUAACAUGUGAAGAUCAUGGAGAUUCAUAUAUGAUGCUUAGAGCCAUUGUAAAUCAUUUCUUGAUUGAGCUCCUUGCAAUGAGGGUCUUAAAUCCUAGAUGUGAGCUUGAUAGAUAAAAGGUGAGCACAUGCCCUACCUACAAAAGAGUUAGACAAUACAAAGACAUAUUUUUAGUAUUUUGGUUAGUAAAGAUGCUAAAAUACAAAGUAUGAUACAAUCAAAUGGUGUUUGGUGAUCUCUCCCAAUGCAAACCCAAUGAAUGAGGGGUUAUGAGUAUGCCAAGAUGUGAUCCCAAUGCUAAUGCAUAUGAUGAGAUAGCAUGAGGGAUCUUAGGGUCAAAAUUGGGGUCUUACAGAAAGUUGACUAGAUAACCAAUCAAAAUAAAAAAGAUUCCAUUAGGGAUAUAAAUGUAACUCAAAUUGAAAUUGAAACUUAGAAAUUAUAAUACCUUCAAAUUGAUAUCAAAAUCUAGAAAUUGAAAUACCUUCAAAUUGAAAUUAAACCCUGGAAAUUGAAAUACCUUCAAAUUGAAUUUGAAAUCUGAAAAUGUAGUGAGUUGUAAAUCAAAAUCGAAACUGAUAUUGAAAUCGAAAGAGAAACUUGGAAAUGUAAUGUGCACGAAAUCAAAAUCAAAAUCGAAAAUGAAACCUGGAAAUAUAAUGAAAAAUAAAUCGAAAUUGAAUUUGAAAAUGUAAUGAGCGAAAAAUUGAAAUAAAAAUCAAAACAACGGUGAGAAGUGAUAGAAGAUGUAGGUUUUACAAUUCUGAGAUUUGUGAUAACAAGAACUAUCUAGUCAAGGAUUUUUCAAUUGUAGGGAAGGAAAUCCUUCGACACCUGAAUUAAUUCAGUAAAUUCAAAGUAUCGUUUGGUUCUAUGGAUGAGAGAGUUUCCUCCAAAGUCGGGAGUCAAUCUCCUCUUGCGAGAAUUCUUACACAUGACAUUUUUUUUAAUUUUAGAGGAAAUGGAAUACAAUUCAUAUUUUGGAGAAAAUGAAGGAAUGUCAAGAAUUAAGGGAAAUGAAAUAUUUAUGAAAAAACGCUUGAAAGAAUGGAUGUGAGGAUGGUUACGGAAGCAUAGUAGUUUCCUUUUUAAAUAAAAUUCUCUAUUUUUGUAGAAAUUAGUUGAGGUGGUUGCACAUAACUGUCGUGGCACCUAUCGCAAAUGAUAAAUAAGAACAGUUUUUAUGUAACCGUUUCAAUUUAAGUGCAAUAAAUCAACAAAAGUAUUAUAGUAAAAUGAAAAUGGAAAUUAUAAAUAUUUCUUGAUUACUUAAAUGUCAUUUUUUUAGUGUAAAUAACUUUUGAUAAAAAAGUAAUUUAAAAAGUUUAUAUGAUUGAUUUUUGAUAGGUUGAUAGUUACCUAACAAGUUUCACAUAAUCUUUUCACUAAAUUAUUGACAAAAUCAUUAGUUAAAUUAGAUCCGACUUAACAUAUUAGUUUUUUUUAUAACUUUAAAUAUUGAACUUAUUUUUAAUUUUGUACAACGCUAGUUUUUUAAUGAAGUACAAUUGUAAAAAACGGUUGUAUGUCCUUUAAAUAUGUGAUAUGUUAUAAUUAGUUUCGUUUUGAGAUAUACUUAAUUUAAUAUUAAAAUAACAUAAAUAAUGAAUUUGUUACAAAUGUAAAUCUUAAAGAGGCAUUUGACUCAUGUUUUAUCAUGCAUAUAGCCCGGCAUAUAGUGGAGUAACUUGUAGUACAAGCGCAAGUUAGCAUUAUCUCUUUAAAAAUCUAGCUAAGGACAGUAUGGUUUGAUGUGUAUAUGUUUGAAAUCACAUGCUUCAAACCAUCUGACUUUCAAUAUUUAAGGUAUGUUUAUAGUUCAGCUAGAGUCAGCUAGUACUAGACAAAUUGAUUUUAUAUUAAAGUAUAUAUUAAUACUUCAAUAUUUUAUGUUUGAAUUAUUACUUCACCUAUGUUUGAAUUAUUAAUAGUUCAUUGUCUUAUAAAAAUAUCUCUUUCUCUGUUCCAAAAUAAUUAUUUAUUACAUUAUUUUUUAAUAUUAUUUUUUUAUUUUAUUUAAUUAUUUAUUAAUUGUAAUUAAUAAUGUUUUUUAAUAAAUAAUAUUAAUUUUAUUAUUAAAAUUAAUAUAUUCAAUUAUUUUUUAAGAAUCACAUAUUUUUCAAAUAAUAUAUUUUUAUGAGAUGCAUGGAGUAAUAUGGUUUAAUAUAAUAUUUUUUUGUUUUACGUUAAACUCGAGGUUUAUUUUACUUUCUUAAAUUACAAAAUUUAAUAUCAAUUCUUUAAUUCUUUAACUCUAUAAUAAAUUAUGUUAGUCACUUUUGGCUAAAUAAUAAAAAAUUAAUUUCUAAAAAAUAAAAAAAUAAUAUGAUACAUUUUGAAAUUUUAAAAAAUUGAUAAAAUGAUUUUUCAAAUUAAGAAACAAAAUAAAUUUUAAAAUUAGCAUAAAAAAAAUAUUAAACCUUAUAAUAUUGUAUAGUCUCAAUCUCAACUUAAUAAAAGAUGGCACUACCAUGUCUCAUAUUGAAUAUAUUUUUAAUUAACAAACCAAUGGGUGGAUUUGGAAACUAGCAUUAUCAGUGAAGGUAUGCAUGUAAAUUGUAAUAGUAAGACGACAUUGUGAAUUCUAAGAAACAAUAAAAUAUGUUUGUCUGCAACAUUAAAUGUUGACAAAAUGCACAAGGUAUAGAGAAACCUUGUUUUUGUUGUAGUUUAUACAGUAAAAUGGUUUUUGGUUUUGCAUGUACAUAUAUGCUUACUUUAUUCAUGUAGCAAGCACGCGUCUGUGACGUGUAAGACUGAGUUGGACGUAAAUGAAUUGGUGCAGAGUAGUGGCAAAGCCAUAUGCUGAAGAAUGAGUUGAUUCAUAAAGCGGUGCUAUGAAUCUAAGAGCUUGCCGAAAACAGCACAAAAUCUAUCUAUGGCAUGUCUUGCGCGUGUCAUGUGAAUCAAAUUGUUAGCUUAAAAACUAUGACACGUUUUUAUUUCUGCUAUUUUUCAAUGCUGUUUAUUUAUCACUAUCUUGCUACUUGCUUUCAACAUUCAAGUGGUGUGUACUUCAACUUGCAUGUAAUUAAGAGUGUUUUAUCUCUUAAUAAGUGUUUUAUUUUAACAGCAUGAUUUAUGAAAAAUGUUUAAAUAUGUUAUUUUAAUUAUAUAAUUAACAUUAUUUAUUAUAAUUUUUUAUCAAUUAUAAUUAAUAGAGUAAUUGAAUAAAGUAAAAAAUUAAUAAAUAAAAAUAUAUUAUACAAAAAUAAUAAGUAUUAUAUUAAUAUUAUAAAAUAGAAUUUAAAUAAAAUUUUAAUUUUUUAUUUUAUCUUAUUUACAACAUUAAUCUCUACAUUAUUUAUUUGUCUUUUUUUUUCCUUUAAAUUUUUACACUUAAAAUUAAUAAUAUCAAAUUUAAAUGAUAUAUUAUUUAUAAAAUAAAUAAAAAAUCAUCGUACAAAAUUAUUUCUAGAAUUUUAAAGAUAAAGAAUAUAUAUUGAUUUUAUUAUAAAUUGACAUGUCAUUAAUUUUCAAUAAAAAGUAAAAUAAAAUAUCUUUUGUAAAACUUUAAAAAUAAAAAAGUAUAUAUAAAUUACCCAUUAUUAAAAUUCACAUCUCUUUAAUUUUCAAUACAAAAACUAAAAUAAAAGAUCAAAAUUA